This 785-nucleotide ribosomal RNA is filed under the name uncultured bacterium. RNAcentral describes it as "bacterial SSU rRNA". It matches the Rfam family "Bacterial small subunit ribosomal RNA", at positions 8 to 798 of the family's 1533-position model. The record is from RNAcentral.
AGAGUUUGAUCCUGGCUCAGGACGAACGCUGGCGGCGUGCUUAGCACAUGCAAGUCGAACGGUAAGGCCCUUCGGGGUACACGAGUGGCGAACGGGUGAGUAACACGUGGGUAAUCUGCCCUGCACAUCGGGAUAAGCCUGGGAAACUGGGUCUAAUACCGAAUAGGACCACAGAACACAUGUCCUGUGGUGGAAAGCUUUUGCGGUGUGGGAUGGGCCCGCGGCCUAUCAGCUUGUUGGUGGGGUGAUGGCCCACCAAGGCGACGACGGGUAGCCGGCCUGAGAGGGUGUCCGGCCACACUGGGACUGAGAUACGGCCCAGACUCCUACGGGAGGCAGCAGUGGGGAAUAUUGCACAAUGGGCGAAAGCCUGAUGCAGCGACGCCGCGUGGGGGAUGACGGCCUUCGGGUUGUAAACCUCUUUCACCAUCGACGAAGGUUCGGGUUUUCUCGGAUUGACGGUAGGUGGAGAAGAAGCACCGGCCAACUACGUGCCAGCAGCCGCGGUAAUACGUAGGGUGCGAGCGUUGUCCGGAAUUACUGGGCGUAAAGAGCUCGUAGGUGGUUUGUCGCGUUGUUCGUGAAAUCUCACGGCUUAACUGUGAGCGUGCGGGCGAUACGGGCAGACUUGAGUACUGCAGGGGAGACUGGAAUUCCUGGUGUAGCGGUGGAAUGCGCAGAUAUCAGGAGGAACACCGGUGGCGAAGGCGGGUCUCUGGGCAGUAACUGACGCUGAGGAGCGAAAGCGUGGGGAGCGAACAGGAUUAGAUACCCUGGUAGUCCAA